RNAcentral lists this ribosomal RNA (468 nucleotides) under uncultured bacterium. RNAcentral describes it as "partial 16S ribosomal RNA". It matches the Rfam family "Bacterial small subunit ribosomal RNA", at positions 28 to 507 of the family's 1533-position model. The record is from RNAcentral.
GACGAACGCUGGCGGCGUGCUUAACACAUGCAAGUCGAACGGAAAGGCCCUGCUUUUGUGGGGUGCUCGAGUGGCGAACGGGUGAGUAACACGUGAGUAACCUGCCCUUGACUUUGGGAUAACUUCAGGAAACUGGGGCUAAUACCGGAUAGGAGCUCCUGCUGCAUGGUGGGGGUUGGAAAGUUUCGGCGGUUGGGGAUGGACUCGCGGCUUAUCAGCUUGUUGGUGGGGUAGUGGCUUACCAAGGCUUUGACGGGUAGCCGGCCUGGGAGGGUGACCGGCCACAUUGGGACUGAGAUACGGCCCAGACUCCUACGGGAGGCAGCAGUGGGGAAUAUUGCACAAUGGGCGGAAGCCUGAUGCAGCAACGCCGCGUGCGGGAUGACGGCCUUCUGGUUGUAAACCGCUUUCGCCUGUGACGAAGCGUGAGUGACGGUAAUGGGUAAAGAAGCACCGGCUAACUACGUG